This is a non-coding RNA of Caerostris extrusa, 111 nucleotides long. The record is from the annotation of a GenBank genome assembly. NCBI's taxonomy places the organism in Eukaryota, Metazoa, Arthropoda, Arachnida, Araneae, Araneidae.
UGGCCAUACCAUGCAGAAUAUACAGGUUUUCAUUAGAUCACCAAAGUCAAGCAUCAUUGGGCGGGGUCAGUACUUGGAUGGGUGACCACCUGGAGAACACCGUGUGCCGUU